AGUUCGGAUUGCAGGCUGCAACUCGCCUGCAUGAAGCUGGAAUUGCUAGUAAUCGCGGAUCAGCAAGCCGCGGUGAAUACGUUCCCGGGCCUUGUACACACCGCCCGUCACACCAUGAGAGUCGGGAACACCCGAAGUCCGUAGUCUAGCCGCAAGGGGGCGCGGCCGAAGGUGGGUCCGGUAAUUGGGGUGAAGUCGUAACAAGGUAGC
This 210-nucleotide ribosomal RNA is filed under the name uncultured bacterium. RNAcentral's name for it is "partial 16S ribosomal RNA". It matches the Rfam family "Bacterial small subunit ribosomal RNA", at positions 1290 to 1500 of the family's 1533-position model. The record is from RNAcentral.